UGGUUGACCUCGGAUCAGGUAGGGAUACCCGCU
RNAcentral lists this ribosomal RNA (33 nucleotides) under Porpidia albocaerulescens. RNAcentral's name for it is "partial 28S ribosomal RNA". Lineage: Eukaryota; Fungi; Ascomycota; Lecanoromycetes; Lecideales; Lecideaceae. The record is from RNAcentral.